This 253-nucleotide ribosomal RNA is filed under the name uncultured bacterium. RNAcentral describes it as "partial 16S ribosomal RNA". It matches the Rfam family "Bacterial small subunit ribosomal RNA", at positions 524 to 776 of the family's 1533-position model. The record is from RNAcentral.
UACGGAGGUUCCAAGCGUUGUUCGGAAUUACUGGGCGUAAAGGGAGCGCAGGCGGUCAAGUCAGUCUAAAGUGGAAGCCCGGGGCUCAACCUCGGAAAGCCUUUGGAUACUGCUUGACUUGAGUACGUGAGAGGAAGGCGGAAUUCAAGGUGUAGCGGUGAAAUGCUUAGAUAUCUUGAGGAACACCAAUGGCGAAAGCAGCCUUCUGGCACGACACUGACGCUGAGGCUCGAAAGCGUGGGGAGCAAACAGG